RNAcentral lists this transfer RNA (83 nucleotides) under Phycisphaera sp. RNAcentral describes it as "tRNA-Leu". It matches the Rfam family "tRNA". Rfam says of the family: Transfer RNA (tRNA) molecules are approximately 80 nucleotides in length. Their secondary structure includes four short double-helical elements and three loops (D, anti-codon, and T loops). The record is from RNAcentral. RNAcentral also lists the same sequence under 1 other name. Lineage: Bacteria; Pseudomonadati; Planctomycetota; Phycisphaerae; Phycisphaerales; Phycisphaeraceae.
GCCGGAGUGGCGGAAUGGCAGACGCGGUGGAUUCAAAAUCCACUUCUGGAAACAGAGUGGGGGUUCAAGUCCCCCCUCCGGCA